AGGAGUUUCCAAAAUUCCUCUCGGUUAACUCGUUGCAAGUAGAAACCAUUUCUCACGCAGGCUACAGGGGCGUUUUCCGUGCAGCGGCUCUGAACGCGGGGCCGCGCGGUUCUGGGCCACCCCGUCGCGCCGAACAGUGAUGAGCAUCGUGCUCCUGGCUGCAUCUUGGACACAAGAAACAGAGCUGUCAUCCAGAAGUGCCAUGCUCAGGUCAACAGGAAGGAGGACCAAGACCUGAGAUUUUACUCAGCAGUCUCUGAGUACACAAAGAAGAAAUAAGAGACAGAUGUCUGAUAGGGAAUGAUAGGUAUUUCAAGAUGGGACAUCCUCACCUUGAUUGUGUGGUUAGGAAGUCAAACUUAUCUCCUUUGCUGGACCAAGCCCUCAUUUCUGUGACGGUGUCUUGUACUGUUCCAAAUGAGAGGCUAUUUGAUGGGCCUCCUGCCUGGAGUCUAGUUACUGAUUUUUAGCACUAAUGGAGCCCUGUCAGGUGUGCUGGAAGUAUUUGGUGUGCAUCAGGUCUGUCAAUUCCUAAUUACAGCCAAAAAGAAGCAGGUACAGAUCUAUUAAUAGAGAGGGGAAUAAAAUAGAGCUCAGUAGUGGCUGAAAAUUGGUCUCUUACAAGUUAUUGCAAAUAGCUGGAAAUACUAUGCACAAUACAACAAGCACACUGAGACUCGCAGUUCAUGUGCACUGAAGAAUAUAGGGUUCAGACAAAGCAACCUGAAGCAGCUAGCUUAUAAAACGGGUGACUCGCUAUGGAAAGCACUCUGAGGAUGGAAAUGUACAGUGGUCACUGAUGAAAAAUUUAUAUUUGCUCCCAGCUAGUAUGCAGAUAUACUCACAGACCCUUAGUUGCUUUGCAGAGAGAUGGGAAGCAGCAGUUCUGUUAGCAACUGUCACUGUUGUAAUAACUACCAUUGAUUAUACUACUACUACAUUGCAUGACAUUUAUUAAAACAAUUAUAAUAUUAAGACAGAGGCCUUAACUACAUUUCUAGCUGUAACCUGUAAGCAUCUUGCUUUAUAACAUUCACCCUACCAAAGGUCAUUGUUCUGACCCGAGAUGUAUUGAGUUCCUCCAUCAAGUGGUAAGGAAUGUUACAGUGUUGGCUCUGGAUGUUGAUGGAUAUAAUUCAGUUGUUUUGGAAAUGUAUGACUCCCUAAAUAUGUUUAACUCGCUAUCUGACAUGUCACCCUUAUUGCGUGGAAAAUUUAUCAUUUCCACGUUUUUUAUAAAUAGAAUGAAGGUGUUAAUAGUCGUUAAGUUUACAGCAUAAAAGCCCAACCAUUCAGUUUCUUUUAGCCAGCCCCCCUGAAACAGUAGGCUCCAAUAGCCCUUUGUCCAUAGCUUCUAAAGAAAUAAUAGUCCUAAAUUUUAAUUUCUUUUACCACUGCAAGUGUUAUCUUAGCUGUUGAGUAAGACCCAGUCUCCCUGCAGGAAGCUGUUACUAAUUCUAAUUUGGAGAAGUCUUCAGUUUCAACAGUGAUUAUUACCAUUAUCAUCCAGUGUCUACUCACUCUCUGUCUUAGCAGGGGAGAAUAAUGGUACUGAUGGGAAUAAGAGCUCCCUUCUCUUCUUAUUGAGCAUAAAUAUCCUUCUUUUUUGUUUGUUUGUAUCAAACUUUUCAAAGCAUCACAGCAUAGAAAUGCCAGUGUACAGCUACUUUUGUAAUUAACUGAUGUUCAUUAUUUCUGCCAUCUAGAUCAGUAAUACAUACAUUUCUGAAAAAAAAUCCUAAAUGGACUUGGAAUUGUGAGGCUGUUGGUAAUUAUACUCUGGUAAAGUCUGCAACAGUGACUUGCAACAUGUGCAAAUAAUGCAGGAUGGAAGCAGAACAUGGAUCCAGCAUGAAUUCUAUCACAAGACUUCAAGACGUCAAUGUCUGUUUUGCUGCUGGGACUGAAGGAUGUCACAAGCAGGGAACCCAAAGUCCACUUGCAGAUUGUUAGUCUCUGCUGAUUUUUCUCAUUUUAUAGCAGUGUAACCAUGUCAGCUCAGUGGAAUUACUCAUCCUUUAUAGAGGAAUAAAUUAAAACAAAAAUAGGCCAUUGAGGUUGACUUAAUGCUUGCAUAAACCAUAUUUGUUUUGUUUAUAAGACCUUAAAUUCUUGGUUAAAAGGUGUAAGUAUAGGUCAAUGUAAGUGAAAACAAAGAGUAUAUAUUACAGUAAAGUAGAUUCAGGAAAAUAAUUGGAAUUAUGAGUUCAUUAGUUAAAGUAACUCCAGAAAGAGUUAUAGUAGUGCAAUACAUGUCUUGCACCAGAGCAAUGUUAGAUAACAAAAUGCACACUUGUCAGAAUUCAAAGGAAGCUACAAAAGCUGACAUCCUCUGAUAUAGACCUGGAGUUUGCUUCAGUUGAACUAAGGGACAGCUGAUAAAGGCAAUUGUCUAUUUAAAAACAAAAUGAGACUGAAAAAAAAGCUCUGAUUUUUAGAUAGAUGUUUUGCUUUUCUGCUUGGAAAUUCCAUUACAACAGUGCAGUGUCUUUCUCUUCUUUAACCAGUCUGUAUCACAGUGCAAUUAACUAGGAAAAUAUUUUUCAUCAGACCUGUCCUCAGUUAUAACUACUGACCCAUGAAUGUGAAGAAAGAUAAACAAACUUCUUGGUUUUGCUGUAUUUAGACAGUUCUCUUCAUAUGAACAGAUCAGGUCUUAGAGAGGGUGUAACUCCAAUCGUAGCUUUAGAAGUAUAAUUGGUAAUAUUUUUAUCUCCUCUUACAGACUUUAUACCUCAGGAGAUGUGGAGGAAAAUGAUUCAUCUGCUAAACCCACAAUGUGUCAUUGCAGGUGACAGUAAAGGUCUUUCACCAGAAUUACCUGUAAAAACAAGUUUUUGUUAAUGAUUUGUAAUAGGCCAUCCAAGCAUAGUUCAGUGCACUGAACUCUAGCCAGAGAAUGGAAAUUAUGCCAGCACAAUGCAUGAGAUUCAGUGACAACAGCUGUGAACCUUACAGGUAAUUUAAGGCUGUUUUUUGCCUAUCAGUUGUAAAAUACGUGAAAGCUGAACUGAAAAGUGGGUCCAGCCAAUGAAUGAGAGGAAUCUUGAAUGCAAAAGUUCCUUUUCAAGUAUUUUUGAGUUGUGAUGGAAAACUGAUUACAUAUUUUAAGUAAAAAUUCUUUUUAUGCA
Molecule: long non-coding RNA, 3131 nt
Organism: Numida meleagris (helmeted guineafowl)
Lineage: Eukaryota; Metazoa; Chordata; Aves; Galliformes; Numididae
Exons: 2
Source: RefSeq, a predicted model, not a curated record